This 481-nucleotide ribosomal RNA is filed under the name uncultured bacterium. RNAcentral describes it as "partial 16S ribosomal RNA". It matches the Rfam family "Bacterial small subunit ribosomal RNA", at positions 28 to 507 of the family's 1533-position model. The record is from RNAcentral.
GAUGAACGCUGGCGGCGUGCUUAACACAUGCAAGUCGAACGAAGCACUUUAUUUGAUUUCCUUCGGGACUGAUUAUUUUGUGACUGAGUGGCGGACGGGUGAGUAACGCGUGGGUAACCUGCCUUGUACAGGGGGAUAACAGUUGGAAACGGCUGCUAAUACCGCAUAAGCGCACGGCAUCGCAUGAUGCAGUGUGAAAAACUCCGGUGGUAUAAGAUGGACCCGCGUUGGAUUAGCUAGUUGGUGAGGUAACAGCCCACCAAGGCGACGAUCCAUAGCCGACCUGAGAGGGUGACCGGCCACAUUGGGACUGAGACACGGCCCAAACUCCUACGGGAGGCAGCAGUGGGGAAUAUUGCACAAUGGGCGAAAGCCUGAUGCAGCGACGCCGCGUGAGCGAAGAAGUAUUUCGGUAUGUAAAGCUCUAUCAGCAGGGAAGAUAAUGACGGUACCUGACUAAGAAGCACCGGCUAAAUACGUG